Cyprinus carpio (common carp) is the source of this 414-nucleotide long non-coding RNA. The record is from Ensembl. NCBI's taxonomy places the organism in Eukaryota, Metazoa, Chordata, Actinopteri, Cypriniformes, Cyprinidae.
CGAUUUAAAUAUUAACCGUCAAUCAGUCUUUCAUCCGCCUUCGCCGUUUUUCAUUCGUUUUACACGCUUAACUGUCGGGAAGUAAACGCGUACAUGGAAAGUGAUUCUUUACCAUGUUCUUUACACAGAGAACAUUCGAAAGACACGACAAUAUCCGCUUGUGUUUGGAAACUGCGACGCUACGGUCGAUUUCUCCCCGAAGGUAACGUUAGUAACAUUAUCUGCGCGUGGAAGAUUUUCGAGUCCAGUGAAAGCGCCGGCCAGCUGGAGCUGAAUAUUCUGGGCUCUGGUCAUCUGCUGGGAUCUCAAGGCCAUGGACUCAUGGAGGGCUUUUAUCUGCACAGUGCGCAGAGCUUCCUGAAAAUCCAGCACAAAUAUGACAGUCUGCUGUUCAACAUUAAAAUGAAGGGUUAA